Molecule: ribosomal RNA, 396 nt
Filed under: uncultured bacterium
Lineage: Bacteria
Description: bacterial SSU rRNA
Rfam family: Bacterial small subunit ribosomal RNA
Source: RNAcentral
GUGUCAGCCGCCGCGGUAAGACGUAGGGGGCGAGCGUUGUCCGGAUUUACUGGGCGUAAAGAGCGCGUAGGCGGCUCGUUAAGUGUGAAGUGAAAUCUCCAGGGCUCAACCCGGAAACUGCUUCGCAUACUGGCGAGCUUGAGGAAUGCAGAGGUAAGUAGAAUUCCUGGUGUAGCGGUGAAAUGCGUAGAUAUCAGGAGGAAUACCGACGGCGAAGGCAGCUUACUGGGCAUUAUCUGACGCUGAGGCGCGAAAGCGUGGGUAGCAAACAGGAUUAGAUACCCUGGUAGUCCACGCCCUAAACGAUGGAUACUAGACGUAAGAGGUAUCGACCCCUCUUGUGUCGCAGCUAACGCACUAAGUAUCCCGCCUGGGGAGUACGGCCGCAAGGUUGAA